Molecule: long non-coding RNA, 1449 nt
Organism: Cryptotermes secundus
Lineage: Eukaryota; Metazoa; Arthropoda; Insecta; Blattodea; Kalotermitidae
Exons: 3
Source: RefSeq, a predicted model, not a curated record
AAAGAACUUCAGUUGGCAAGACUGGACGUUCUUCUGUUUGUUUACACUCUGUCGUGUCGUUAGAUUAGUGAUCGUUAGUGAUUGUGUUAAGUGACGAUAUGUGUGAAAGAAACAGAUAAUUGGAGAUUUGUCCGAUUCUGAAGGAGGUUAGAUUGUUGGUGUGCGUUUAGCUGGAGCAUCUGUGACAAAAACUGCCAUAUUGGGUGCAUCGAGAGCGACAGUUUCUAAGGUUAUGUCGGCAUGCACGAAUCGUGGGAGGACAAUAACAGCGAAGAGGAACAGUGGCGAAAAUCAACUUUGACAGAGAUCGUCGUACAUGGAGAAGGAAUGUGUCGAAAAUUCACAGAAUUAAUGCAGCGCAGGUUACAGGAGAACUGUAUAUUCGUCUUGAAGACCCUGUUUCCACAUAAACUGUCUGGCGUGAGCUUCACAAAUCCAGCACCCACGGAUAAUUGGGAAGAAUAGGAAAAUGUUUUGCUCCUGGGUGCGUGUCAUGCAGUGAGCACACUGGAAUGAAAUUCUUCUGUUUUCCCAGGGAUUCAGCACGGGCUAUGAUAUGGGCAGGAGGAGUUGGAUUAUCCUGUACUACUGAUUCUGCUGGAAUGCUGUACUGCUGAUGACUGAAGCAGCCAGGCAGAGGGCCACAGAGAGGAAGAUGAAGAUACUGACUCAUCAGUAAGUCAUUGGGAAAGUAAUGCUUCUUCAUUUUUCCCUUAUAAUGUCCUGCCCAUACCAACCCUGGAAAUAGACAGCAGUUAUGGAAUUACUGUUAGAAUAUGUGUGCCAACUAGUCAUAUGAGCAUCAUUAGAUGUUUCAUAAGUUGGAGAAAGUAACCCUGGUGACAAGCAGUUGCAGUGCAGCAACAGGAACUACUGUGCAGCGAAUGAUAACAUCGUCAUCCACAGUUCAAUUGCACACAGGAAACUUAUUUUGAACUUGAGCUCCCUCUCCUCCCCUCUUUGCAAACAUGUUUCCUUCAUCUCAGAAUAUUAGAACUUCACUGGGUCAGAGUUCAUUCUGACCUUUAUCUUCAAGAAAUUGUAUUUCAGUCGCGUGUGUGGGAAAUUGUUUUCUGACACACAUGGGUCUUGUUUAUGUGUAGGUAAGAAUGAAGAGGCAUUACUUUAUAAUUGACUUGCAAAGUUCAGGUUAUCCACUUCAGUGUGAAACUCUGAGAAACAAAAUCAGUAUCAGGGUUGAAUGUGGGUAGGACUAUUUAUGUAAUUUCUUUACCUAUUUCAUUUUCAUUACAUUGUUAUUCACUUUUGUUGUUAUAAGUAAUACCUUCUCUUGCUUUUGUGUUAUUCACUUUUGUUGUUAUAAGUAAUACCUUCUCUUGCUUUUGCUGUAUAAUGCUACCUGUACUGGACUGGUGAACAUGAACAUAAGAUUUUCAAUAUUAAUUGCAUUUCUUUAAGAUAUGUUAUUAUUUUUGCCAUAUUAUUCUG